AUCUGGAUGAUACCCUUCUUUCUGUAGGGGAGGAGAGUAGGUGCUGUGGGAUGGAUGCAAUUCUUACACCUCUCUGAAGUGAUAUUCCAGUAAGGAAAUGGUGCAAACAAGCUAUGCACCAUUGGCCGUGACAUGAUCACAGCAGGACUGUGCUGAAGAGCUCUUCUGAGAUGUGCGACUGGUCACUGAAGUGCUCUGCCUGUGCAGCAAAUUAAUCCCAGCCAUACAAGGUGGUGCUUGACAGAACAAUAUAAAAUAAACAA
This 263-nucleotide long non-coding RNA is filed under the name Chrysolophus pictus (golden pheasant). RNAcentral's name for it is "lncRNA (ENSCPIG00010011808.1)". The record is from RNAcentral. Lineage: Eukaryota; Metazoa; Chordata; Aves; Galliformes; Phasianidae.